UUCUAGCUGGUCUAGUAGCCAGGAUUCCUGGUUUUCACCCAGGAGGUCCAGAUUCAAUUCCUGAGCAAGAAA
Molecule: transfer RNA, 72 nt
Filed under: Sus scrofa (pig)
Lineage: Eukaryota; Metazoa; Chordata; Mammalia; Artiodactyla; Suidae
Rfam family: tRNA
About the family: Transfer RNA (tRNA) molecules are approximately 80 nucleotides in length.
Source: Rfam by way of RNAcentral